UACGAGGGGGGCAAGCGUUAUUCUAAAUGACUGGGCGUAAAGGGCUCGUAGGCGGUUUGUCGCGUCGGGAGUGAAAUCCACUGGCUUAACUGGUGGCUUGCUUUCGAUACGGGCAGACUGGAGGUAUGCAGGGGAGAACGGAAUUCCUGGUGUAGCGGUGAAAUGCGCAGAUAUCAGGAGGAACACCGGUGGCGAAGGCGGUUCUCUGGGCCGAUACUGACGCUGAGGAGCGAAAGCGUGGGGAGCGAACAGG
This 253-nucleotide ribosomal RNA is filed under the name uncultured bacterium. Its description in RNAcentral is "partial 16S ribosomal RNA". It matches the Rfam family "Bacterial small subunit ribosomal RNA", at positions 524 to 776 of the family's 1533-position model. The record is from RNAcentral.